Molecule: ribosomal RNA, 468 nt
Filed under: uncultured bacterium
Lineage: Bacteria
Description: partial 16S ribosomal RNA
Rfam family: Bacterial small subunit ribosomal RNA
Source: RNAcentral
GACGAACGCUGGCGGCGUGCUUAACACAUGCAAGUCGAACGGAAAGGCCCUGCUUUUGUGGGGUGCUCGAGUGGCGAACGGGUGAGUAACACGUGAGUAACCUGCCCUUGACUUUGGGAUAACUUCAGGAAACUGGGGCUAAUACCGGAUAGGAGCUCCUGCUGCAUGGUGGGGGUUGGAAAGUUUCGGCGGUUGGGGAUGGACGCGCGGCUUAUCAGCUUGUUGGUGGGGUAGUGGAUUACCAAGGCUUUGACGGGUAGCCGGCCUGAGAGGGUGACCGGCCACAUUGGGACUGAGAUACGGCCCAGACUCCUACGGGAGGCAGCAGUGGGGAAUAUUGCACACUGGGCGGAAGCCUGAUGCAGCAACGCCGCGUGCGGGAUGACGGCCUUCGGGUUGUAAACCGCUUUCGCCUGUGACGAAGCGUGAGUGACGGUAAUGGGUAAAGAAGCACCGGCUAACUACGUG